This 716-nucleotide long non-coding RNA is filed under the name Homo sapiens (human). RNAcentral's name for it is "non-protein coding lnc-DZANK1-3:2". Lineage: Eukaryota; Metazoa; Chordata; Mammalia; Primates; Hominidae. The record is from RNAcentral.
UUCUGUUGGCGUGCAAAGUUCAAUCAGAUAUUCUCUGCUGAUGCAGAGGCACAUGUCACAAAGGGGGACACAAGCUGGCUCCAGGUGUGGCCAAAAAAGUGUGCAGUGAUGUUCUCUAGUCUAUUUUUUUUUCCUUUUUCUCUAUUCUGGCUUCUCAAUAUGAUGUCUAGUCUAAUCAAGCAAAUUCACUUAUAAGCAGGUGAAAGUUCAAGAAAGGGGCCUCAGAAGUCUUCUGGUUUGGCCCAUUCCUUUGUGAUGAAGGUUCUAGACAUAGGGACUGGGGUUUGUGUGAGGUCACCCAGGUGAUUGCACAGCGCCAGCCCUCAAAGCCAGGUCUAGGGCUCCAUCCCACUUCCCAAGAUGCCCUGAAGUCUUGAGGUGUCUGCUAGGAAAGCGUUGCAUUACUGGGCCAGGAAAGAAGCUUCAUAUUACAACAGGCUGACAUGUUUUUAGCUCAAGAGUGGAGACUUCUGUCAAUCAUGUGGGAUCAUGAAUGCCUGAAAGGUUGGAGGUCCAUGCGUUGACCAAGAAGAACUCCAGCUGCUUCAGAUUGCUUGAUUGUCACUGAAAAGUACACUCAAUAUGAAGAAGAUUGCAGUUAACUGGAGAUUAAAAUUAGAUGUCUUAAUAAGGCAAAUCAUUUCAACGUAUGUCUUCCCUUUCUUUGAUUUCCUCUCAUGUGUAUUAUAACACCUCUUACUAGAGGGCUCCAGAAG